RNAcentral lists this ribosomal RNA (396 nucleotides) under uncultured bacterium. RNAcentral describes it as "partial 16S ribosomal RNA". It matches the Rfam family "Bacterial small subunit ribosomal RNA", at positions 523 to 918 of the family's 1533-position model. The record is from RNAcentral.
AUACGGAGGGUGCAAGCGUUAAUCGGAAUUACUGGGCGUAAAGCGCACGCAGGCGGUUUGUUAAGUCACAUGUGAAAGCCCCGGGCUCAACCUGGGAACUGCAUCUGAUACUGGUCAGCUUGAGUCUCGUAGAGGGGGGUAGAAUUUCUGGUGUAUCGGUUAAAUGCGUAGAGAUCUGGAGGAAUACCGGUGGCGAAGGCGGCCCCCUGGACGAAGACUGACGCUCAGGUGCGAAAGCGUGGGGAGCAAACAGGAUUAGAUACCCUGGUAGUCCACGCCGUAAACGAUGUCGACUUGGAGGUUGUGCCCUUGAGGCGUGGCUUCCGGAGCUAACGCGUUAAGUCGACCGCCUGGGGAGUACGGCCGCAAGGUUAAAACUCAAAUGAAUUGACGGGG